UACGUAGGGGGCUAGCGUUGUCCGGAAUCAUUGGGCGUAAAGAGCGUGUAGGCGGCUCGAUAAGUCCGCUGUGAAAGUCCAGGGCUCAACCCUGGGAUGCCGGUGGAUACUGUCGGGCUCGAGUCCGGAAGAGGCGAGUGGAAUUCCUGGUGUAGCGGUGAAAUGCGCAGAUAUCAGGAGGAACACCAAUGGCGAAGGCAGCUCGCUGGGACGUGACUGACGCUGAGAAGCGAAAGCAUGGGGAGCGAACAGG
This 253-nucleotide ribosomal RNA is filed under the name uncultured bacterium. RNAcentral describes it as "partial 16S ribosomal RNA". It matches the Rfam family "Bacterial small subunit ribosomal RNA", at positions 524 to 776 of the family's 1533-position model. The record is from RNAcentral.